This 517-nucleotide ribosomal RNA is filed under the name uncultured Acaulospora. RNAcentral's name for it is "SSU rRNA". It matches the Rfam family "Eukaryotic small subunit ribosomal RNA", at positions 569 to 1085 of the family's 1831-position model. Lineage: Eukaryota; Fungi; Glomeromycota; Glomeromycetes; Diversisporales; Acaulosporaceae. The record is from RNAcentral.
AGCAGCCGCGGUAAUUCCAGCUCCAAUAGCGUAUAUUAAAGUUGUUGCAGUUAAAAAGCUCGUAGUUGAACUUCGGAAUCUGUCCAUCGGUCGGGCUUCACUGUCCGUACUGGUGUGGUGGGUUCUUACCUUCUGAAUAACCAGCAUGCCAUUCACUUGGUGCGUUGGGGAAGCAGGACUAUUACCUUGAAAAAAUUAGAGUGCUCAAAGCAGGCUAGUGCCUGAAUACAUUAGCAUGGAAUAAUAAAAUAGGACGGCAUGGUUCUAUUUUGUUGGUUUCUAGGAUCACCGUAAUGAUUAAUAGGGAUAGUUGGGGGCAUUAGUAUUCAAUUGUCAGAGGUGAAAUUCUUGGAUUUAUUGAAGACUAACUUCUGCGAAAGCAUUUGCCAAGGAUGUUUUCAUUAAUCAAGAACGAAAGUUAGGGGAUCGAAGACGAUCAGAUACCGUCGUAGUCUUAACCAUAAACUAUGCCGACUAGGGAUCGGACGAUGUUAAUUUUUUAAUGACUCGUUCGGCG